CUGAUUAUUGAUUAACCUGGUGUGGGUUUUUCCCAGAGAUUGCAGCCUUGAGACCCUGUUAGACACAUUCCUGAAGGCACACCCUGCUCUUCUAAGAUGCAUGUAUCAGCAACUUCAACACAAUUCUUAUCAGGAAGGAUACGGGGUCAAGCUGCCCUUUCUGUGGCACCCAAAACCCCCUCCUUCCUUGGUUAAGCUAAGCCUGCUGACUUGGCUGCUUUUAGCAAUAAGCAAAGGUGGGUUCAGGCACUUUACUGGUUUGCUGACAUCUCCCUGUACACUGGACAGGUACAGCUGGACCUUGCGUGCUGUGUGAACAAUCGGAUUUGUAAAGCUGUUUUGCAUAAUUUUUGGUUGUGGGAUUGCCUGAUGCAGUGCUGACAACUCUUGUGUCUCCACUGGUAGCAUACUGAAUUUCUGUAACAAGGGAUCAAUAAGGAAGACAAAAUGCAGCUCAUCCUCUCUCUCUCUCUUUCUUCCACCUGUGGAAAUACAGCUUCCUAGACCCUGGAUUCACUACUAGUGAUGAGAAAAACCGCUUGUUAAACAAUAAGAACUCCUCAUUCUAUCCUUUGCUCCUUUUUGGAAUCAAGUGUGAGCUAAACUCACUUGGAGGUUCUGAAAUGCUCAUCUAACUCCUUUCUGCUCAAUAUUUUUCAGGUGGUAGGAAGGAUGGCUUUGUGGAGAGCUGGAGCUGAAUCUACACUUCUUGAUCCAAGCAGCCCUGAACUUUGGGGGAAGUUUGGAUCCACAUCCAGAUUAGAAACUCAUCCCUUGAUUUCAUCUGUAAACGGCUGAACCUUUGGCCCAACUCUAGUCUUGUGGUUAAGACACAGGAGUGGGACUGGGGUCCUGGAACAGGACGCAUCUCUGCCAUAAGUUUCUUGUGUGACGUUGGGGAAAUCCUUUGAUCUCUGUUCCUCAGUUUCCAUAUCUGUAUCAUGGGGAAAUAUGUCCCCACCUCACAGGAGAGUUGCACAGCUUAAUUAAUUAAGAUUAUGAAAGUGCUUUGAGAUCCUCAAAUGGGAAGUGGUAUAUAUAAGUGUGACAUAUAAUUAAUAUUAUUGUGCAUUGCCAGGAUUCAGCAAGGACCAGAACUGGAAUGGCUGCCCAGAACACCACAAGAAAGGCUGUUUUGGGAUUUAUGGCCUAACCAGAACAAGGAAGUAUGGAAACUCUAGUGAGAGAACCUUCUUUAACAGACUGGGUAGCUGUCAUGAUAAUCUUCAGAUCCGGAGAGCGGGUACUAAGCAGCUGCCUAGAGUGGUAGAUUCUGCCUAGGUUGACAGCGCCAGCCCGGCCAAACCUGAGUGGCGCUCGGACCCCAUGCACCAGGAUGCAAUGCCAUUUACUUGGAUGUGGGUGGCCACCCCCCAUACCCCCUCCCUAGGUCAUGACAGAAGGGUGGCCAGGUCAAACCUGAGGGAGUGGUGCUGUCACCUGGCGCUUAGCCCUCUCCCCCCCUACACACACACUUCUGCCGUAACAACUGAACCAUCAGAAGGCUCGCUGAGCCUCCCCAGAAAGUCCAGUGCGCACCCUGGUUGAGGACCUCUGUUGAGGACCACACUGAAGUUUUAGGUGGCAGAUUGUCUUGAGCAGCCUCUGCUGGAGCAGGAUUCUGGACAUCUGCUAUGUUUCCCCAGCCAGCUGAGGGAUAAUUCCCCUGGCGCAGGCACGGUGUAGCACAGCCACUGGUGUCCUCGCAAGUGCCAGUGCAGGGAUCCAUGGGGGCUAGGACAAGAGUAGGUGACAUGUCAAAGGCAUGACUGUAGCAGGCUGCAGCACAUGCCACUACAGCCUCUCUGUGCAGAUCCAGAUUGUGCAGCUGCCCCACAGUCAGUCCAAAUAGGGCUGCUGUGACUUAGAGCCAAUUCCUGGGCUGCUUAAGACACGGCGGGGUGGGGACGUGGGGGGGGCAUUUCGACCCUCAACUGGCACAGAUUCCUAAGGGCACAAGGAAAUGUAAAACCAUCUAAUGGACUGAACCUGUGUGUGUCACAUCUCCUGGGGGCACCGCAUACAACCUCACUCUUAGGGCUGGUCUACACUACAUAGUUAGGGCUACGUAAAACAGCUUAUGUCGACCUAAUUAUGUCAGUGUACACACUACAGCCUUCCUCCCAUGGAUGCAAGGGCCCUGCUACACCAACCUAAUAACUCCACCUCGCCGGAGGCGUAAGGCUUAUGUUGGUGUAGUUAGGGCGACGCAGUGUCUGUGUAGAUACUGCAUCCCCUAAAUCGGCUGUCUUGUCAAUUUCACAGCAGGAGCCAGGAAAUUGACAAGAAAGACCCCCACUUCCCUGGAGAGCUGGACAGCUGGACCCUGAUCCCAGCUGGGAGCCAGGAAAAGAAGCCAGAGUGGCUUCUACCCUAAUACCAGCUGGGAAGCAGUGAAAUUGACAAGGCUGCCCGGCUCCCUGUGGGGAGUGGGCAGGGGGGCCAAGAAGCUCCUGGCAGCUACCUUUCCACACCCCUUGGGGAGCAGAGGGGCAAGAAGCCCCAGGUGGCUUCCCCUGACUCUCGGCAGGGAACAGGGAGGCAAGGGGGGGCAGCCCACUGGGACCCCGGGAGCCUGUGGGGCAGCCAGGGUACUGACAGGGAGCUGCCAGCAGAGCUGAGAUCGGGCUCUCCUCUGCCUCCUCUUACGUUGGUGGAAGUUCUCCUGGUGAGGACAUGCACCACCGACCCCAGAAGGGUAGUGUAGACAUGCACCAACACAGUAACUGCUGCCGUGGCUGUAAGUUGACCUAAUAUAGGUUGAUUUAGGUUUGUAGUGUUGACAUACCCUGAGACUUUGAGGUGCUUCUCUAACUCAAAUGUUGAUUGUGAGUUUUUGAUGUUCCUCUGUCACUCUUUUGUUCCACUGGACAAACUUCUACCCUGGCCUGGCUUGGGAGAAAUGCCUCUGACAAAUCCAGGCACAGAGCUAUGUCCCAGCUAUCAUCUAUCCAAAUGUUAAAUAUUGCAAAAGACAUCGGAGACUCAGAGAACAUUAAUUACAGCCCAUUAUCAGCAGGUGCCAGAAGAAACUGAAGCGAGCACACAAUGCUGUAUCAUUUGGUUAACAACAGGCCCUUUCUAGAUUUACAAUAAUCUAUCAAAGAGUCGCUGUAUCUGUGAAGAAGUGGUUCUGCACAGAAAGGUCAUCCAGCCAUGGGCAUGUAAUUGUCCUGAGAAGCAUAAACUGGAGCUGAGAGAGCUGGAAAACCUCCCCAGUAAACUCUUCUUAGGAAAGGUAUCUGUGUCACAGUUUCUUAACUUGCAACCUUAAUAGGCUUCAUUAGUAUUAUCUAGUCAUGUUUAUUACAGCAGUGCCUAAGGGCCAAACAAGAGCAGGGCCCCAUUAUGCUAGGCGCUGUACAAACGCAGAACGGUCCCUGCCUAGUGAUCUUACAACCUAAAUAGAUGAGACUGACAUAGGGGAAGGGAAGGGGUAUCACACACAAGCAGGGUGAACAAUGUGAUGGCAGGAAACAUAACUUUAGUGCCACGUUUUUGCAGGGGGGGUUAGUUAGGAGAAUAACCCCGACUCUUGGAGCAAGGGGGGGUUAGUUAGGAGAAUAACCCCGACUCUUGGAGCAGUGAGACUCUGGUGGGCCCUAUCCAAAGGACUGCAACUAAGAUGACUACCUGAGCCCUCUGACUUCAUUCCCAGCAUGCCUGGAGCCAGGGUGGGAAGCAGAAAGAACUAGAAACCUCUGUUUGGGCCAGUAGGGAGGCUUCUGCAUGAGGAGAUCUGCACAAGCUGGCCAUUGGACCGGUGACAAUCCAGAGCUGCUCAGACAGGGUUAGUUUCUGUUUGGAAGCUGGGAGAGAAACAGCUCAGCUGAGAGAGUGCCGGCUAAACUCUCACUUCCCCCAAGGGGAAUUCUUGCACUGCUGUGAGACCAAGCUGCAUGGACCAGGCCGUUCAGCACUGCCAUGAACAGCAUCCAAGGAGAGAGUGAGCGCCAACCCAGCACCAGCUACUGAGCGACAGCUCAGACCUGCACAGACUUUCAGACCUGGCAAUCCAGGAGGAGUUCAGAGAGGACCCUGCCCCACCCAGGGGCGAAGACCUUUUGUUCAAACCGAACAAUGCCACAGCACUGCAGCAGUUCAUCUCAGGACAUGAAACCUCAGGGUACCAUUCGCCUAGGGACGUGCCGUAGGAAUGUGUCAGCGGGAGAGCUGGGCUUUGGAGGCAUUGUGAGGGUUAAGAAGUGGGAGGUUGGUUUGUUUAUCAAUGUUUAUUAAUUAUUAGCUAACCAGAAUCCCUUCCUUUCCAGAUCCUAUUUUCUGGAGGGAAAGGGGGAUGAAGAGGACAGGGCUGGAGAGAUGAGGGAAAGAGGGACAGGUGUGGAAUGAAGCUGAUGUGAAGAGACUGUGAAGGAAGGCUCUGCAUCUAUUUUCUCUUGACUAUAGAGCAAUCAAUAUGCUGGCACAAAGGCUUUGGGAUAAUUCAUAAGCAACAACCUGUAGCAAUUUGCAGAUUGAUUUGGAUUGCCUAAAUCGUUCUGAUGAAAGCGGAGGGGAAGAUUCAAAAUGCCUCGAAUUAAAAAAAAAAAAUCCUUCCACCUUACAAAAUCACUGUGGGUCAAAUCCA
This is a long non-coding RNA of Chrysemys picta bellii (western painted turtle), 4588 nucleotides long. RefSeq lists it as uncharacterized. The record is from RefSeq and is a predicted model, not a curated record. NCBI's taxonomy places the organism in Eukaryota, Metazoa, Chordata, Testudines, Emydidae.